AUGAACAACCGUUGUCGUUGCCCGAUCGAAGAUCUUGGGUUUUCAUGCUGGAGAAAGUCCGAGUUCACCAAAAGCAAUGCCUUCAACAAGGUGUUUCCAGAAAAAAAUAGCCCAAUAAACAGACCGUCCAUAUCUAAAUUGCGGCCAAUUCCCCGACGCCCACUGCUCCCUCGCACCUGCUCGACCCCGAUAGCCGCCUCCGCGCCUCGCCUCGCCGUCGUUUGCGCUCGGCGCCCCUGCCACCACCCAGCCGCCGAGGAAGCCCCCAGCUCCCGCCUCUUCUCCAGCCCGCCCGCCCGGCCCUCGAUCCAGGCGCAUCUCCCUGCGCGCGCGGCGAGCCCUGUCCCAGCGCGCGGCUGCGCCUUGGCCCUGCCGGAGUCCGGUUGCCUGCGCCCCUGCUGUAGCUCGUCGGGCGGCUGCCUGGCGGCCCUACCCUCGCCCCUUCCAAAUCCAGCUGCGGUGAGAGAAGCUAUGAAGAUAGGGAAUAAGAAGAAGGCAGAUAAUAUGUUGGAUGUAGCUGAAGAGCAGACCCGUGAAGUUGUGUGUAUGCCGGUUGUGAUCGAAGAGCAAAUUGAAGAACUAACAUUGUCUAUGUCAAAUGUGACCAUAGAGCAAACUGAGGAUGUGUCACCGCCAUCACCACCGGUUUAUGAUUUUAGUCAUCUUAAAGAUGGUCUCGGGGACAGGCUACCCAUUGCAAGUUAUCCUAUCAAUGAUCAAGAUGCAAUUCGAAGAGCAUAUAUCCUUAAAAAUCCAUUCAAACCUUAUGCACAUGACUUUAAAAAAAGAACAAUUGGGAUCAGAGAACGUCCAUUCAAUCCUUUGUGGCUUCAUAAUCAUAGUUGGCUUGAAUAUAGUAUCAAGAAGGAAUCUUCAUUUUGCUUUGUAUGUUACUUGUUCAAAGAGAAAAAAACUAGUGGUAAGGGAACUAAUGCAUUUACUGAUGGUGGUUGGAGUAAUUGGAAUAGAGAGGAUGCUUUUCUUAAGCAUGUUGGUUGCAUAUCAAGUGUGCAUAAUGCAGCUCAAGAGAGAUAUAACUUAUUUGUGAAUCCUCAUGCAGCAAUUGAUGAUCUUUUUGUCAAGGUGAACAGUGAGGAUCUACAUCUUUACAAGAUGAGGUUGAAGUAUUCACUUAGAUGCUUGCAGUUUCUUCUUCAUCAAGGAUUGGCAUUUCGUGGGCAUGAUGAAAGUGAACAGUCUAGCAAUAGAGAAAACUUCCUUGAGCUAUUGAAGUGGCUUGCAGCAAAUAGUGAGGAGGCAAAUAAGUAUGUUUUGAAGAAUGCACCAGCCGAUGAGUCUAGUGAUGUAUCACAUAAAGAACAACUAGCUUUAUGCUUGUGUUUUGUUGAUAAAGUAGGGAGGCCGUCUGAGCACUUUCUUGGAGUUGUUCAUGAUAUGAUGGGGCUAGUAAUAUGA
This 1416-nucleotide ribosomal RNA is filed under the name Triticum aestivum (bread wheat). Its description in RNAcentral is "partial small subunit ribosomal RNA". The record is from RNAcentral. Lineage: Eukaryota; Viridiplantae; Streptophyta; Magnoliopsida; Poales; Poaceae.